This 415-nucleotide ribosomal RNA is filed under the name Apanteles nephoptericis. Its description in RNAcentral is "partial 16S large subunit ribosomal RNA". Lineage: Eukaryota; Metazoa; Arthropoda; Insecta; Hymenoptera; Braconidae. The record is from RNAcentral.
GUUUUAAAGAAAUUAAAUUUUAAGUCAAAUCUGCUCAAUGAAUUAUUAUUUAAAUAGCUGCAGUACCAAUAACUGUACAAAGGUAGCAUAAUAAUUUGUUUUUUAAUUAAAAACUAGAAUGAAUGAUUUAAUGAAAUAUAAACUUUCUCAAAUUCAAUUUAUAAAAUUAUUUUUUAAGUUAAAAAACUUAAAUUUAUUUUAAAGACGAGAAGACCCUAAAGAAUUUUUUUAUUUAAUUUUUAAUUAAUUUAAAAAUUAAAUAAUUUAAUUGGGGAAAUUUUAAAAUUUAAUUAAUUUUUAUUUAAAUAAAACAAUUAUAUUUGAAUUAUAAAUAUUUUUUAAAAAAAUAAAUUAAAUUACCUUAGGGAUAACAGCAUAAUUUUAUUUUAAAGUUCAAAUUAAUAUUAAAGUUUAU